UGGGGAAUAUUGCACAAUGGGCGAAAGCCUGAUGCAGCGACGCCGCGUGAGUGAAGAAGUAUUUCGGUAUGUAAAGCUCUAUCAGCAGGGAAGAAAAUGACGGUACCUGACUAAGAAGCCCCGGCUAACUACGUGCCAGCAGCCGCGGUAAUACGUAGGGGGCAAGCGUUAUCCGGAUUUACUGGGUAUAAAGGGAGCGUAGACGGCGAAGCAAGUCUGAAGUGAAAACCCAGGGCUCAACCCUGGGACUGCUUUGGAAACUGUUUUGCUAGAGUGUCGGAGAGGUAAGUGGAAUUCCUAGUGUAGCGGUGAAAUGCGUAGAUAUUAGGAGGAACACCAGUGGCGAAGGCGGCUUACUGGACGAUAACUGACGUUGAGGCUCGAAAGCGUGGGGAGCAAACAGG
Molecule: ribosomal RNA, 404 nt
Filed under: Fusobacteriota bacterium
Lineage: Bacteria; Fusobacteriati; Fusobacteriota
Description: Fusobacteria bacterium partial 16S ribosomal RNA
Rfam family: Bacterial small subunit ribosomal RNA
Source: RNAcentral